This is a small nuclear RNA of Callithrix jacchus (white-tufted-ear marmoset), 107 nucleotides long. Lineage: Eukaryota; Metazoa; Chordata; Mammalia; Primates; Cebidae. The record is from Ensembl.
GUGCUUAUUUUGGCAGCGCACAUACUAAAGUUGCAAUGAUACAGAGAAGAUUUGCAUGGCCCUUGUUCAAGGAGAACAUGCAAACUGGUGAAGUGUUCCUUAUUUAU